Molecule: ribosomal RNA, 1082 nt
Filed under: uncultured Rhizaria
Lineage: Eukaryota
Description: SSU rRNA
Rfam family: Eukaryotic small subunit ribosomal RNA
Source: RNAcentral
CGGUAAUUCCAGCUCCAAUAGCGUAUACUAAAGUUGUUGCAGUUAAAAAGCUCGUAGUUGGAUUUCUGCGCGGGUGGGGCGUCCGCCGGCCUCAGGUCGGGUUGGGCAGCAACGCCCAUGCAUCCUGCUGCGAUCCGCGCUACCAUUCGUUUGGUGGCGUCGGGGACCAGCUCGAUUACUUUGAGAAAAUUUGAGUGUUCAAAGCAGGCAAUUGCCUUGAAAAUUCUAGCAUGGACUAAUGGUUAAGGACUUUGGUUCUAUUUCAUUGGCUUUCGGAACCGAAGUAAUGAUUGAUAGGGACAGUUGGGGGCGUCUGUAUUCUGAAGCGAGAGGUGAAAUUCUUAGACCUUCGGAAGACAAACAGCUGCGAAAGCGUUCGCCAAGGAUGUACCCUUUGAUCAAGAACGAAAGUUGGGGGAUCGAAGACGAUCAGAUACCGUCGUAGUCUCAACUAUAAACUAUACCAGCUAGGGAUCGGCCAACGUUGAUCUACAAAGACUUGGUCGGCACCUUAUGAGAAAUCAAUAGCAUUUGGGUUCCGGGGGGAGUAUGGUCGCAAGGCUGAAACUUAAAGGAAUUGACGGAAGGGCACCACCAGGCGUGGAGCCUGUGGCUUAAUUUGACUCAACACGGGGAAACUUACCAGGUCCAGACAUAGGAAGGAUUGACAGAUUGACAGCUCUUUCUUGAUUCUAUGGGUGGUGGUGCAUGGCCGUUCUUAGUUGGUGGAGUGAUUUGUCUGGUUAAUUCCGUUAACGAACGAGACCCCAGCCUGCUAAAUAGCGCGCGUGGCUCCUGGCCGCGGCGAGCUUCUUAGAGGGACUACGGUUCGCCAUAGACCGGGGAAGUUUGGGGCAAUAACAGGUCUGUGAUGCCCUUAGAUGUUCUGGGCCGCACACGGGCUACACUGACGCGUGCAACGAGCAUAUCAGCUGGCCCGAGAGGGCAUGGGCUAAUCUUUUGAACUCGCGUCGUGCUAGGGAUUGACCAUUGCAAUUGUUGGUCAUGCAACGAGGAAUGCCUUGUAAACGCGAGUCAUCAACUCGCAUUGAAUACGUCCCUGCCCUCUGUACACACCGCCC